GACAGAGGUGGCGAGCGUUGUUCGGAAUCACUGGGCUUAAAGGGCGCGUAGGUGGUAGUGCAAGUCUGAGGUGGAAUCCUAUGGCUUAACCAUAGAACUGCCUUGGAAACUGUAUUACUUGAGUCAGUGAGGGGAGGGUAGAAUUCCUGGUGUAGCGGUGAAAUGCGUAGAUAUCAGGAGGAAGGCCGGUGGCGAAGGCGGCCCUCUGGCGCUGAACUGACACUGAGGCGCGAAAGCGUGGGUAGCAAACAGG
RNAcentral lists this ribosomal RNA (253 nucleotides) under uncultured bacterium. RNAcentral's name for it is "partial 16S ribosomal RNA". It matches the Rfam family "Bacterial small subunit ribosomal RNA", at positions 524 to 776 of the family's 1533-position model. The record is from RNAcentral.